Molecule: non-coding RNA, 2919 nt
Organism: Cyanistes caeruleus (blue tit)
Lineage: Eukaryota; Metazoa; Chordata; Aves; Passeriformes; Paridae
Source: RefSeq, a predicted model, not a curated record
CCCCGGCCUGGGCAGUGCUUAGCCCCAGAUACCCCAAAGCUGUUGUACGCACAUGAUGAAGGUGAAAUUGUAAUUCUGUGCGGCUCCCCAGCCAGCCUGGCCCGGCCCUGGCUUCCAACAGGUAGCCAGGCUGGAGGGCACGCAGCGGGAGCCCCGCGGCCUCCUGUGGGCCGAGCCGGCGCGGCGCUGCAGGCCGGGACGAGCAGGAAAAAUGCAGGGCCCCGUGCGCCUGUGGACGGGGCCGGUGCGCAGCGCUGCUGCUGCUGUUCAGUGAUCUGAAUGGGUGCGAUCCUAGUUUAGGCCCUCAGCUCAUUGCAGCAAGCUGACAGUCUCCGCUGCCUGCGCCAAACACAAAAGGUGUCCGGGUCUCUGCAGGCUCCGGCCGAUAACGCCGCGCUGGGAUCUCCUGCGAGCUCCGUGGCUCCCGUGAAUUGCCUGGCUCUCCUUCAAAGGCUGCCCUACGGACUCUGGAGCCUUCGAACAAAAUCCAUCGGCUUCAGCGCUAAACCAAAAAUCACCUACAACUUGAAGGACGUGAUGUCAUUCGUCUACAUACAACAAAAAAUAUUUUUCAUUGAGUAUGUACUCAUCUGCACUACCAUUUCAUAUACAGAACAUUUGUUUCCGCAAGCAGGUUAAUUUUUUUUUUUUUUUUUCAACGGGGUAAUUUUCCCUUUUUGUAUACAGGAAUUUUAUUGUGGAUUUAUCACUCUGAAAGCAUUUAAGUAAUUCUGCAGCACUUGUGCUUUUCUAGCCUGGAAAUCAUAUAGGAAAUCAAUAUAUGUGAGACACAUCUCACAUUGUCCCAAACUCAUAUAUUCUAAGAAGGAGGCUUACAUGAUUUUAAUUUUUUUCUUAUCAGUUGUUCUUUCACACAGUGACAAGGACCGUGUCUCAAUUGUCUUUUGCCAAGGUGUGCCGGAUGAGGCACUUGGACAAAAAUAUCUCACCAGGUGUGUGAGGGAGAAGAUACUGUAACCCACAAACUGUACUAGAGUACCCUGUUUCUUUUUGGUGCUGACCUGUGCAUCUGAAUACCACAGACAUGUAAAACACAAGGUCAGAAAAUAACUAAAUAAGGUUAAUAAAAAUGAUUGGAGAAGGUGGAGCAAGCAACUAAAAAUAUUUAAACAGUAUACUCAAAUUAUUUGUAUCUAUUUGGAAAAACAGCUUUGGUUGUUAAAGAGGUUUUAACUAUAUAAUUUACUUCUUAAAAAGCCAAUUCUAAAAAGGAAACAAUGGAUAAAUAAGACUGAUGGAGAAAAGAAUAAAUCACAGGAGAAAAAUAUGCUAAUAAAAUAAGCAAUGGUUUACACCAGCUUUUGGGCACAUGAAAGGAAACAAGAUACUACAGGAUUUUCUUGGUUUGCAGAAUGUAUAUGAUACUUGUACACAAAAUGCAGUGAUUAGUAUUAUUAUAGUAGCAGUAGUAGUAAAAAUGUCAAUAUUAACAGCAUUGAUAGGUAAACCAAAAAAUGGCAAAUCCAAAGCAGAACCAAGUGGAGCAAAUUAAUAAGGAGCCUUUAGUCUAAGACUGAAAGCAGCUGUUUCUCCAAAGGAUUGAAAUGGUGUAUCUUCAUUCUGUAUUAGUCUACAGCUGAGGAAUCACUGCCAUGUGAGCAGUCUGACUCUGAAUUCCAGCUAGAAGCAGAGACUUCAGGACACAUCUGCUCUUUGCUACAGGAAUUCAGAAUUCGCAAUAUUGCAUGCAUCUGGCACUUGCAAGGAAAGCUUUCUUUUUACAUGAAGUAGAAAGGCAGUGUGAUUUGUGAUGUUGCUCUUCAAAUCUCAGUGUAAAGAGGAAGCCAAGAAAUAAAGAAAAAACCCUCCAGUCUCCUGUUAAUCGUGGAAGUUGACAUUGUUACUGGCAUGUUUCUUGUAUGAAGGGAACAAUGUUCUAUAAAUUAAGGGAAAUACAGCAUAAUGGCAUAGCUCCAAACUUUCUCCCACUUACUGAUUCACCAUCUGAUUUCCAUUACAUGUAGAGAACUUCAUCCCAGCAUCUCUAAUACGGCAAGGUAUUGAAAGUCCAUAAAGAAACUCCAUUCGCCUUACACAUGAGGAGGAAACAGAAGAUUUGCUGAAAGUCCAGCAACAUCUUGUGAGGAUCGAGGAGUGGUAUUAUUUAAGGUGUUCAAGCCAGUAGGAUCAGGUAUGUGGCUGGGAGAAUGUGGAUGAGGCAGGAAUGGCAGUGAACAAAGAUGAGGAGAGAACUACAUGUGCUCAUCAAGGUAGGAAUUGAGGGGAAAAUAACUAUAAGUUGCUAUAACUAAAGCUUAGUUAGUUAUUAUUAAUCAAGUUAUUAAUAUUACUUCUCUGUCCCAGCAGUGACCUCAGGACUUUUCAGCUGUGGUGGCUCAUGUUAUUCCAUGAUCUCACCUCCAAGCCUGGUGGAGAUGAUGGAACAGAUCUGCCUAGAAGCUAAGUCACAUAGAGGACAGGGAGGUGAUUUGGGACAACCAGCACAGCUUCAGCAGGGGAAAACCCUGCCUAACCAACCUGGUGGCCUUCUGUGACAGAUUCACUACAUCAGUGGACAAGGGAAGAAGUAAUUUAUGGUCAACAGCUCAGGGCCAUGAUGGAGAUCAGGGACAGUGGGUGUCCCUCAGGGAUCUGUAUUUGGAGCAGUGUUAUUUAAUAUUAUUAUUUAAUAUCUUAGUGUUAUUAAUGACAUAGACAAAGGAAUCAAGUACACCCUCAACAAGUUUACAGAUGACACCAAUCUGAGUGGUGCCAUUGACAUACCUGAAGGAUGGGAUGCCAUCCAGAGGGACCUGGACAAGCUCAAUUGGACCUAUGGGAACCUCUUGAAGCUUAACUAAGCAGUGUGCAGGUGCUAUGCAAACCCCGUACCAAGAAAGGCUGGGGGAAGAGCAGGUCCAGAGCAUCCCUGCUGAGAAGGACUUGUGGGUGCUGGUG